UACGUAGGUGGCGAGCGUUGUCCGGAAUUACUGGGUGUAAAGGGCGCGUAGGCGGGGAUGCAAGUUAGAUGUGAAAUACCGGGGCUCAACUCCGGGGCUGCAUCUAAAACUGUGUUUCUUGAGUGCUGGAGAGGGAAGCGGAAUUCCUAGUGUAGCGGUGAAAUGCGUAGAUAUUAGGAGGAACACCAGUGGCGAAGGCGGCUUCCUGGACAGCAACUGACGCUGAGGCGCGAAAGCACGGGUAGCAAACAGGAUUAGAUACC
This 263-nucleotide ribosomal RNA is filed under the name uncultured bacterium. Its description in RNAcentral is "partial 16S ribosomal RNA". It matches the Rfam family "Bacterial small subunit ribosomal RNA", at positions 524 to 786 of the family's 1533-position model. The record is from RNAcentral.